AUGCGUGCUGUCCUGACCUUGGGUAACUCAGCUGCCCCGUCUCCCAGGUGCCUCUUCUCUCAGGUCCCAGGUGCAAGUGCUACGUGGUCUUCGACAUGCAGCCCAGAUUCAGCAUCUCCACGCAUACCCUCGGUGGCAUGGAUUUCUCAGAGCCCUGGACUCGCUCACCUUGGACUCGCACUGCACCGGCUGGCGGCUCGUCUCCCUCCCCCCCCAAGAAUGGGAGGAGCUCCGAGGCAGGAGAGGACCCAGCCCGCCCACCUGGCUCUUAUCUCCAGUAUCCACUCCGAUUGUGGAUCUUUGACCUUCACCCUGGAUGUGUUUGUCUCUGGCUCCCUGGGACCUCUAGUCACGGUGCCUCCUCUUCUCUGAGCACAAUUCUUCUGGGACCUUCUUCUCCUCUUCUGUAGGCUCAGGGGUGAGUCUGGAAGAGAAGCUGGUGUACCCCGUUCCUGUCCUACAUACUCCUGUCUAUCUCAGGACAGCACCCCUGCUCCUCCAAGGAGUUUCUCCUUCCUUGCUGGUCAUGGAACCUCUCAGAAGCAAGGCAAGAGCAGCUGAUGAAGGGGUCACAGCCACCGAGAGGAGGCCAGUGGGUGGAAUUCGCAGCAACCGCAGCUCUGAGGUUUGGAAGACAAACAACUUCUGUUUCAGACAAAUGGGAGUGUCAGGUUCUUCCAGCCUGAUGAGAUUACAGCUCAGAGGAUCACGAGGAAUCGAUUCCUCCAGAAGAGGAAAAACACAGCUGGCACAGGAGCUCUGCAGAGCCUUCUGCUAAAGGUAACACGGGGUCACAGGCUGCGAGGUUCCAGGUGAGGAAGAGAUUAGGGCACGUGCAUCAAGCCCCAGAUAUGGGAAGUGGUGGAUCCAGGGUACGUCGUGAACGUUUGGUGAUGGAAGCAUGACUGGCGUUUCAGAGGCACCAGCUUCUGGGUCCCUUCUGUCUGUCCAGACAAGGCAGAGGAGACAGGAGGAGUUCAGA
RNAcentral lists this long non-coding RNA (982 nucleotides) under Sus scrofa (pig). Its description in RNAcentral is "lncRNA (ENSSSCG00030065821.1)". The record is from RNAcentral. Lineage: Eukaryota; Metazoa; Chordata; Mammalia; Artiodactyla; Suidae.